UAGUAUUCUUAAGAUGUUAUCAGGACU
RNAcentral lists this non-coding RNA (27 nucleotides) under Mus musculus (house mouse). The record is from RNAcentral. Lineage: Eukaryota; Metazoa; Chordata; Mammalia; Rodentia; Muridae.